Long non-coding RNA from Lagenorhynchus albirostris (white-beaked dolphin), 1555 nucleotides. RefSeq lists it as uncharacterized. The transcript has 4 exons. Lineage: Eukaryota; Metazoa; Chordata; Mammalia; Artiodactyla; Delphinidae. The record is from RefSeq and is a predicted model, not a curated record.
AAACGAAGGGUGUAGAACUGGAGGAAGGCUUCCCGGUGAAGCUUAUAUUCAAGCUGCACCUCGAAGGGCUGAUGAUAUUAAGAAGAAAGUGUAUUCUAGAAGCUGAAAAGUACCCAAAUGACAGAGAGGCAGUAUCAAUGUGUGAGCCACAUCAGAUAUGAGACCACAGGAAUGGUGGGGCCUGGAGGGCUUAUGGUUCCUCAGAUGGCAUUCAGAACGGCAGCUAAAGUCCUCACGGUGGAGAGGGGCUGAAAGGAGGCGGCCACUUGGAGUCAGCUCCAGGCUGCCAGUCCUUGGCCUGGCUGUGAAGAAGCUGCCCUCUAUGCUGUAAGCAACAAGAUACGACACUUGGAUCCACGCUCGUCCGGGCUCCAGACGUUCUGCUAGCCCCAAACACCUGAUGGCCACCAGGAGCGCCGUUUGCUGCCUGUUUGCGGCCUCUGGCUUUCUCUUUUGGAAUACGGGGCAAGAAGAAAACAGGGAGUGACUGGAACAAGUCCAAUUCACUUACAAAGGCGCUCGGGCUCCUAAUGCUAACGGGAUGGGGUUUCCAAACGCCCCCGAGGGAGUUGCCAGGAUCCAGGAUUUUCUUCAAGUUCUUGGAAAUUCUUCGCCGUCCCCGUGGCAUCGCAGCUUCCAACCGCAAGCCUGCCCAGGCCUGGCUGGGCCGGGGCCCCGGCCACGAGAGGGUUAAGGCGCCGCCAAGAUGGCCGCCUUGUUUUGCACUUCGGAGGGGGUCACGCGGGAGGCUGCCCUUUGCCUCUGGGGAGGCGGUCAAAGCCCUGCCCCUGGCGCUCUGCCCUCGGCGGCUUGACGGCAUCUCCUCCCCUGCGCGUCCUGCACUCCGGGACCUCCGAACCUUCCAGGCCCCAGGCGAGCCAAACUCCCAGCCUUCCAGGCAGGAGACCGGGCCUUGGAGGAGCGAGGCAGGGAGGCCCCCUCGGACAUACCGGGCCGCGGAUGCGCGCCGGCGGGGUCCCUUCGGCCUCUAAGAACGUCUGGGGCCCGUGGGCCGAGGCCGCAGCCUGGGCCGCGAUCCCUUUCUAUUUUCUUGUCUCCUGGCUGAAGCCGCCCCAGCUGUCUCCCGGGUCCAGGAUACAGCCGUUUCUCCGUGAGCAUUUUUAAGUACCUACUGUGCGUCUGCUCUGGAGUCACUACAGUGACGUGUGAGGUGUGCUACAAAGGGUGAGGCCUGCCCCCAGACUGUCCUGCAGGGCAGGUUGAUCUGAAGGCGAACAGUGAUAGCUACCACUUAUCAAGCACUUGUUCCACGUGACGCCCCACGCCAAGGGCUUCUCAGGAAUUACGUGAGGUCAUGCGUGAAGCACUGGCCCGCUGCCGCCAAGGAGUGAGGUUGGAUAAUGGGAGCCUUGGUGUUGUCAUUUCACAAUCGCCCCCAGUACUUGGCACAGACAUUUAUUAAGCACCUACUCUGUGCCAGGCCCUGGGUGCUGGAAAUACCAUCAUGGACAAACCAGAUCGAGUAUCUCCCCGCUGUGAACUUGCAUUCUGAGUGGAAGAUAGACAAUAAACACAAGCACCAAGAUAUUCCUAA